RNAcentral lists this ribosomal RNA (271 nucleotides) under uncultured prokaryote. Its description in RNAcentral is "partial 16S ribosomal RNA". It matches the Rfam family "Bacterial small subunit ribosomal RNA", at positions 524 to 794 of the family's 1533-position model. The record is from RNAcentral.
GACGUAGGAGGCGAGCGUUAUCCGGAUUCAUUGGGCGUAAAGGGCAAGUAGGCGGUUGUCAAAGUUGGGCGUGACAUCUCCUGGCUUAACUAGGAGGGGUCGUUCAAAACUAGGCGACUAGAGGGCAGAAGAGGAAAGCGGAACUCCUGAUGUAGCGGUGGAAUGCUCAGAUAUCAGGAAGAACACCAGUGGCGAAGGCGGCUUUCUGGUCUGCACCUGACGCUGAGAGGCGAAGGCCAGGGUAGCGAACGGGCUUAGAUACCCCCGUAGU